Molecule: long non-coding RNA, 2108 nt
Filed under: Equus asinus (donkey)
Lineage: Eukaryota; Metazoa; Chordata; Mammalia; Perissodactyla; Equidae
Description: lncRNA (ENSEASG00005023979.1)
Source: RNAcentral
CUCAGCGCGGCCGGCGGCGCCCUCAGACCGGCGGGCCGGGUCUCGUCUCCGCCCCCCGGUCGCCUCCGCCCCGAGCGCGGCUCUUCAGGUGAAACCUGAGGCCCGUCCCAUAGCGCAACUCAUUGAAAGCGAUUUUAUCGGAGACCAAGGAAAUAUGGUUUAACACUGAAACUUUCUAAAAUUUUGGCUGACUCAGAGAAUACAUCUAGAAAAUCCAGAUGAGUGCAAGUCCUUCAGACAAUUCUCCGUUAAGAUCGCCUCCUGGAACCAGACUUUUCAUAAGGGUUGGGAGCAGGUCAUUGGAGUUCUGUCUUCUCUCGAGGCCUGAAGGGACGUUGUUCUAUUGUGUUCAUUUAGAGUGGAAACGUAUACUACAGCUAUCAAAGGAGAUUUUUUUACAAGCUUUUAUGAAGAUUGAGGCAUCUUACCAAAACCUCUUCCGGUUAUAGGUCCUUCUAGUUCUGCUACGCGGGACGCCACCUCAGCAUGGCCGGGUGACCAGAUGAGCGGUGCUGGGUCUGCACCCAGGAUCCGAACCAGCGAACCUCGGGUGCCAAAGCAGAGCGCGUGAACUUAAGCACUCGGCCACAGGGCCAGCCCCUAAGCAUGAAGUUUAAAUGGAAUGUUUAACAACUGGGUAACGAUCAGUGGAGGGUUGACUGAGCUCCCAGGACUCCAACUCCACCAGCCUCCCAGGUGACGUCCUGAGACAGUGCUUCUCAGACCCUCCUCCUCAGGCUCGGCGGGCAUGCCCUUGAGGGAUAAUAAGUGUACCCCAAAAGCACCAGUCCUAAAUGCAUAGCCUGAUGAAUUAUUGCAUAUGUAUCCCCUUGUGUCAUCACCACCUAGAUCAGGAUAAAGAAAACUUCCAGCACCUCACAAGAGUCCCUCUUGCUUCUUCCCAGUCUGCAUCCCAACCCAACGGGAGCAUUUUCUAGAUUGCAAAAAUAACAAACUCCUAGCUGACUCUUCGGUAACGGGAACUGUCGUGAAUCCUUAAAGGACAUGAAUAAGUCACGGAGAGGGUCUGCGUCACACCGGACGUGCGACUGUGAAUGGAAAGACCGAUGUCAGGCUUUCAGACUCGGAAAAAUAAAGAAAUUCGGCGUCAAAGAGGUUAAGAAACAGUCAAAGGCCGUCCAGUUACAGGCUCAGUAAAAAUUCCAACCCAGCUCGUCGAACUCCACAGCAGCCGCUUAGCCUACCAUCCCGCACUGCGCCUCCCAGAAGCAGUGGGCUGCUGCCCCUGAGUGCCCCCAGAUCAACCCAGACUUAGUCACUGGCAGCACCUGUGUACUCAUUUAUUCUUCAGUCGUGCCCAGCUUGGGGACCGAUUUCCAUGGAGAUUACCUAGAGCUUUGUGCAGAACAGCUGCAGUCCAGGCUUUGCUGUGGUGAUUGUCUUCUGCCGGUCCCUGUGUGCUGUCACGGCCGCAAUGCUGACGGAGCUGCUCAGGAAGCCAGAUGAGAGCUUGGUGACACUGCGAAGAUGCUGGUGGCAGAUGGAGUGGCAGAGCAGGCAGCAAGCAAGCUGGAAUAUGGAUGUUCUGUCUCGGGAAAGGUUUUGCACAGCAGAAAAGAAGCGGGGUCAGAAACAAGUGCCAGAGGCAGGCAUGCAACUGUGGGCCAAGUGACAUCCUGCAUGCCAGGAGGAGGACGGCAUCGGCCACGUUCCCACACAGACUGGGGACUCCGGGGAAGAAAGACACUCUCCAUUUUUUCACGUGCUUCACGUGGAAGCUUUCUGUGAGAGGAAAUCUGCGGUAUUGGGGGAACCCAUUCCCGUGUGUGCUGUGUACAACUGGAGGUAUUUUAAGGGGGUGGAAACUUACUGCCUACCCACUCUUUGUACAGAUGUGCUCCUGUUGAUUAAAGGAAUUGGCCCUAGCGUCCUUUUUGCUUUCCUUCAUUGAUCCACAUCCCUGAUUUUAAGUCAUUUUGUGAAAACAGAAUUCGCACUUAACGAAAAAACCAGGAAGGUUUUGGGAGCAGUUUCUCUUGAGCCAGUUAGAAAUUGUAAAAUCCUGUCUCUGCAUCAAUUCCACGACAUUAAAAGUACAGUCUGUACAAUGAAGGUCUCAGAAAAUGAUGCUAUUUAUUACCUUUUCA